RNAcentral lists this ribosomal RNA (460 nucleotides) under uncultured bacterium. RNAcentral describes it as "partial 16S ribosomal RNA". It matches the Rfam family "Bacterial small subunit ribosomal RNA", at positions 338 to 795 of the family's 1533-position model. The record is from RNAcentral.
CCUACGGGUGGCAGCAGUGAGGAAUAUUGGUCAAUGGGCGCUAGCCUGAACCAGCCAAGUAGCGUGAAGGAUGACUGUCCUAUGGGCUGUAAACUUCUUUUAUAUGGGAAUAAAGUGCAGUAUGUAUACUGCUUUGCAUGUACCUUAUGAAUAAGGAUCGGCUAACUCCGUGCCAGCAGCCGCGGUAAUACGGAGGAUCCGAGCGUUAUCCGGAUUUAUUGGGCUUAAAGGGAGCGUAGGCGGGUUGUUAAGUCAGUUGUGAAAGUUUGCGGCUCAACCGUAAAAUUGCAGUUGAUACUGGCAUCCUGGAGUACAGUAGAGGUAGGCGGAAUUCGAGGUGUAGGGGUGAAAUGCGUAGAUAUCACGAAGAACACCGAUGGCGAAGGCAGCCUGCUGGACUGUAACUGACGCUGAUGCUCGAAAGUGUGGGUAGCAAACAGGAUUAGAUACCCUUGUAGUC